AAAGUUCCCUUCGGGGAGCAAGUAGAGUGGCGCACGGGUGAGUAACACGUAGGUAAUCUACCUUUGGAUGGGGAAUAACAACCGGAAACGGUUGCUAAUACCGCAUAAUGCAGCGGCACCUAAUGGUGACAGUUGUUAAAGCGGGGGAUCGAAAGACCUCGCGUCUAAAGAGGAGCCUGCGGCGGAUUAGCUAGUUGGUAAGGUAAUGGCUUACCAAGGCGAUGAUCCGUAACCGGCCUGAGAGGGCGGUCGGUCACACUGACACUGAUAUACGGGUCAGACUCCUACGGGAGGCAGCAGUCGGGAAUUUUGGGCAAUGGGCGAAAGCCUGACCCAGCAACGCCGCGUGAAGGAUGAAAUCCCUCGGGAUGUAAACUUCGCAAGAACAGGAAGAAUAAGUAGGGGAUAAUACCCUCUAUGAUGACGGUACUGUUUGUAAGCUCCGGCUAACUCCGUGCCAGCAGCCGCGGUAAUACGGGGGGAGCAAGCGUUGUUCGGAUUUACUGGGCGUAAAGGGCGCGUAGGCGGCCACCGCAAGUCGGUUGUGAAAUCUCUGGGCUUAACCCAGAAAGGUCAACCGAUACUGCGGGGCUAGAGUGCAGAAGGGGCAACUGGAAUUCUCGGUGUAGCGGUGAAAUGCGUAGAUAUCGAGAGGAACACCUGCGGCGAAGGCGGGUUGCUGGGCUGACACUGACGCUGAAGCGCGAAAGCUAGGGGAGCGAACGGGAUUAGAUACCCCGGUAGUCCUAGCCUUAAACGAUGAAUGCUUGGUGUCUGGGGUUUUAUAGUCCCCGGGUGCCGUCGCUAACGCUUUAAGCA
RNAcentral lists this ribosomal RNA (819 nucleotides) under uncultured Actinomycetes bacterium. RNAcentral describes it as "bacterial SSU rRNA". It matches the Rfam family "Bacterial small subunit ribosomal RNA", at positions 70 to 866 of the family's 1533-position model. The record is from RNAcentral. Lineage: Bacteria; Bacillati; Actinomycetota; Actinomycetes.